RNAcentral lists this ribosomal RNA (497 nucleotides) under uncultured bacterium. RNAcentral's name for it is "partial 16S ribosomal RNA". It matches the Rfam family "Bacterial small subunit ribosomal RNA", at positions 28 to 507 of the family's 1533-position model. The record is from RNAcentral.
GAUGAACGCUGGCGGCGUGCCUAAUACAUGCCAGUCGAGCGAACGGACGAGAAGCUUGCUUCUCUGAUGUUAGCGGCGGACGGGUAAGUAACACGUGGAUAACCUACCUAUAAGACUGGGAUAACUUCGGGAAACCGGAGCUAAUACCGGAUAAUAUUUUGAACCGCAUGGUUCAAAAGUGAAAGACGGUCUUGCUGUCACUUAUAGAUGGAUCCGCGCUGCAUUAGCUAGUUGGUAAGGUAACGGCUUACCAAGGCAACGAUGCAUAGCCGACCUGAGAGGGUGAUCGGCCACACUGGAACUGAGACACGGUCCAGACUCCUACGGGAGGCAGCAGUAGGGAAUCUUCCGCAAUGGGCGAAAGCCUGACGGAGCAACGCCGCGUGAGUGAUGAAGGUCUUCGGAUCGUAAAACUCUGUUAUUAGGGAAGAACAUAUGUGUAAGUAACUGUGCACAUCUUGACGGUACCUAAUCAGAAAGCCACGGCUAACUACGUG